CGGGGGGGGCAAGCGUUGUUCGGAAUUACUGGGCGUAAAGGGCGCGUAGGCGGUCCGCUAAGUUGGAUGUGAAAACUCUGGGCUUAACCCAGAGCCUGCAUUCAAAACUGACGGGCUAGAGUUCUGGAGGGGGUAGCGGAAUUCCUGGUGUAGCGGUGAAAUGCGUAGAUAUCAGGAGGAACACCGGUGGCGAAGGCGGCUACCUGGACAGAAACUGACGCUGAGUGCGCGAAAGCUAGGGGAGCAAACAGGAUUAGAUACCCUGGUAGUCCUAGCCCUAAACGAUGGAUACUUGGUGUGACUGGGAUUGAAUCCAGUCGUGCCGAAGCUAACGCAUUAAGUAUCCCGCCUGGGGAGUACGGUCGCAAGGCUG
RNAcentral lists this ribosomal RNA (373 nucleotides) under uncultured organism. RNAcentral's name for it is "bacterial SSU rRNA". It matches the Rfam family "Bacterial small subunit ribosomal RNA", at positions 526 to 896 of the family's 1533-position model. The record is from RNAcentral.